AGGGAGUCACAACUGCCUGAGUGCAGUUCAACUUGGAACUCUCACUUGGAGUGGAACCUCCUGUGAGAGAGAUUUCUACUGGGAACUCUACUGGGAGUUUGUCUUGGAGUGGAGGCUGAUAAAGAAUCUGCUGACUGGACUGGCACAUGUCAGUCAUACUGGUCUAUUUGCAAUUCAUGAAGUGGAUACUGUCACCCACAAAGGACCUGAACCUGAAUCUUGGAAGCACAAGGACAAGGGGAUCCACAAUGUUCUAGAAAGUAUAUAGUAAAAUAAAAAGAAAAAAAAAGAAAUGCCUCCA
This 301-nucleotide long non-coding RNA is filed under the name Monodelphis domestica (gray short-tailed opossum). RNAcentral's name for it is "lncRNA (ENSMODG00000041312.1)". The record is from RNAcentral. Lineage: Eukaryota; Metazoa; Chordata; Mammalia; Didelphimorphia; Didelphidae.